UCCCUCUCGUCGUUGUUGCGCAGGUCUGUGCCCUCCACCCUACACUCCACCGGCAGCUCCUUGUUGUAGUCCUCCUUGGUGAGCAGCAGCUUCACAGCCACCAGAGGCUGGACGUAAGACUCCUGCAUCGGUAAAGAGACAGCCGUCGUGUAGGGAGAGAGU
Molecule: long non-coding RNA, 162 nt
Organism: Etheostoma cragini (Arkansas darter)
Lineage: Eukaryota; Metazoa; Chordata; Actinopteri; Perciformes; Percidae
Exons: 3
Source: RefSeq, a predicted model, not a curated record